UGGGGAAUAUUGGACAAUGGGCGCAAGCCUGAUCCAGCCAUGCCGCGUGAGUGAUGAAGGCCCUAGGGUUGUAAAGCUCUUUUGUGCGGGAAGAUAAUGACGUACCGCAAGA
Molecule: ribosomal RNA, 112 nt
Filed under: uncultured bacterium
Lineage: Bacteria
Description: partial 16S ribosomal RNA
Rfam family: Bacterial small subunit ribosomal RNA
Source: RNAcentral